Long non-coding RNA from Drosophila novamexicana, 1123 nucleotides. RefSeq lists it as uncharacterized. The transcript is spliced from 2 exons. NCBI's taxonomy places the organism in Eukaryota, Metazoa, Arthropoda, Insecta, Diptera, Drosophilidae. The record is from RefSeq and is a predicted model, not a curated record.
GGUAGAAAAUGGCGCAAAUUAACUAAAGUGCAAUAAAAAAUUCGUAUUUUUCCAUAAAUUAAGUAAGCAUGUUCUGGCAUCAAUCUUGAAAAUAUCUCCAGAGCACAGUGAAACAUUUUUCCAAAAUGCAUUACAAAAUUCAUAACAUUUGAACAAAAUGAGAAAAUCGAAUAAUAAAAAACACAUGAAAGAGAAUUUAUGCAACUUUAAAGUGAGGGCUUAGUCAUUUUUAAAGGUCAACAGGAUCUGCUUUUAAAAGGCAACUUAGUCAACAAUUUAUUACGAUAAUUUAGAAUAAUUAGCAUUUGAAGUGGAAACCCAACCCUUUUCAAUAAAAUUUCGAAAUAUAUAUGUUGCAAAUAUUUUUAAAGAUUUUAAGUGGAGCAAUGCGGAGUAUAUCCAAAACAAUUUAAAAUUUAGGACCUAACUGAUAUCAAUGAUAUUAACAAAUACUUGAUUGUGGUUAGCUUAGGAAUUAAGGCGUAUAAAAAAAAACAACCAAUCUCAAUACUUUCCCAAACUUUUUACUCAAAAAACCAAAAAAAAAAGCACUUCCUUGAAAAAGUUGACUAACUAUAAAGACAAAACAACAAAACCAAGUUAUCAAAUAAAGAUUUGUCUGAUCCUUUGGGACUACCCUUAUCGAUGUUUCCAGAUAACGGCCCACUGUGCGGCGUAACAAACACGUAUUACAUAAUAUCAAAUUGUUGUGACAUGCAGAUUUCAUGCUGUUCCCCAGAUGAAGAGAAAUAUGCCGCCCAUCACCAUGCCAAAAAUGAGGAAGUCAAGCCAGCUGGGGGCGUCGAAGCGGAGCCGUGCAGGGAAGCUGUAACCACAUGCCAGGUAAAGCUGUCAGGAGUACGUGAAGCUUCAGCUGGCAUAUGGCAUUAGAAUUAAAGCAACAGCAAUGGGCGGUUAGCGAUAAGCCCCAACAACAAUCAGAAGCACACAUUUAGCUGCCGUUGGGCGGCAAGGCUGGGAAAUUGUAAACUGGAAAAUUUCGUGUGAAAAUGAAAACCACUUAACUGUAAUAGCAUGGGCAUAAGAAAUACUCAAAUGCUUGAAACGCCACGCAAAUUGCGGCAAAAAAAUGGAAAUAAAUAAAUAUGAAACUUGUCUAAAA